UGUGAAGAGACCAACAAACAGGCUUUGUGU
RNAcentral lists this non-coding RNA (30 nucleotides) under Homo sapiens (human). The record is from RNAcentral. Lineage: Eukaryota; Metazoa; Chordata; Mammalia; Primates; Hominidae.